Molecule: unclassified non-coding RNA, 77 nt
Filed under: Kaistella treverensis
Lineage: Bacteria; Pseudomonadati; Bacteroidota; Flavobacteriia; Flavobacteriales; Weeksellaceae
Description: Chryseobacterium treverense Flavo-1 RNA
Source: RNAcentral
CUGCAGCCCGACUUGAACGGAGCUCUUUUUGUGUAGCAAAGCGGAACAAAAAAGCGGGAGUGGAAGGCGGAUAAGCU